CGUGUGCAGUUACCGAAAUAUAAAUACCUAAUUGAUAAAUUAUAAAAAUGGAAGGUAAAAAACACCAACGGGCACCCAAUUUUACAUGUGACGAAAGUAUGCUUUUAUGUAACCUCUUAGACACAUAUAAUUUCAUAAUAAUUGAAAAUAAAAAAACUGAUGGUUAGACCGUAGCCGAAAAACAGAAGGCUUGGAAGAUGCUGAGUAAAGAAUAAUAUAACGCCAACACCACUUAUGUACCCAGAACUACUGAGAAUUUACUGAUAUACCCAGAUAGCAAAGUUUUAAACGCGUCUGUAGUUCAGACAGUGGAGCUCCAUGGACAAGACUGAUGUUAAUCUCCCCCCAGAGGAAUGCCAAACAACAUUCAUCAAUAUUUUAAGUAAAGAAGCGAAACAAUCAUCAAGCAAAAUAAAACAACAAGCCAUAUUUUAAGAUUUAGGUAUAUAACUAAUAUACAGUGGUAAUUGAUAAUAAUAAACAUGUUUUUAAAUCAA
Plutella xylostella (diamondback moth) is the source of this 497-nucleotide non-coding RNA. NCBI's taxonomy places the organism in Eukaryota, Metazoa, Arthropoda, Insecta, Lepidoptera, Plutellidae. The record is from RefSeq and is a predicted model, not a curated record.